UACACUCCUGCGGGAGGCAGCAGUGGGGAAUAUUGCACAAUGGGCGCAAGCCUGAUGCAGCCAUGCCGCGUGUAUGAAGAAGGCCUUCGGGUUGUAAAGUACUUUCAGCGGGGAGGAAGGCGAUAAGGUUAAUAACCUUGUCGAUUGACGUUACCCGCAGAAGAACCACCGGCUAACUCCGUGCCAGCAGCCGCGGUAAUACGGAGGGUGCAAGCGUUAAUCGGAAUUACUGGGCGUAAAGCGCACGCAGGCGGUCUGUCAAGUCGGAUGUGAAAUCCCCGGGCUCAACCUGGGAACUGCAUUCGAAACUGGCAGGCUAGAGUCUUGUAGAGGGGGGUAGAAUUCCAGGUGUAGCGGUGAAAUGCGUAGAGAUCUGGAGGAAUACCGGUGGCGAAGGCGGCCCCCUGGACAAAGACUGACGCUCAGGUGCGAAAGCGUGGGGAGCAAACAGGAUUAGAAACCCGAGUAGUCCCAUG
RNAcentral lists this ribosomal RNA (476 nucleotides) under uncultured organism. RNAcentral's name for it is "partial 16S ribosomal RNA". It matches the Rfam family "Bacterial small subunit ribosomal RNA", at positions 332 to 799 of the family's 1533-position model. The record is from RNAcentral.